GACGAACGCUGGCGGCGUGCUUAACACAUGCAAGUCGAACGGAAAGGCCUCUUUCGGGGGGUACUCGAGUGGCGAACGGGUGAGUAACACGUGAGUAACCUGCCCUUGACUUUGGGAUAACUUCAGGAAACUGGGGCUAAUACCGGAUAGGAGCUCCUGCUGCAUUGUGGGGGUUGGAAAGUUUCGGCGGUUGGGGAUUGACUCGCGGCUUAUCAGCUUGUUGGUGGGGUAGUGGCUUACCAAGGCUUUUACGGGUAGCCGGCCUGAGAGGGUGACCGGCCACAUUGGGGCUGAGAUACGGCCCAGACUGCUACGGGAGGCAGCAGGGGGGAAUAUUGCACAAUGGGUGGAAGCAUGAUGCAGCAACGCCGUGUGCGGGAUGACGGCCUUCGGGUUGUAAACCGCUUUCGCUCAUGACGAAGGUUUGUGUGACGGUAGUGGGUAAAGAAGCACCGGCUAACUACGUG
Molecule: ribosomal RNA, 467 nt
Filed under: uncultured bacterium
Lineage: Bacteria
Description: partial 16S ribosomal RNA
Rfam family: Bacterial small subunit ribosomal RNA
Source: RNAcentral